This 138-nucleotide transfer RNA is filed under the name Aspergillus carlsbadensis. RNAcentral's name for it is "tRNA-Thr". Lineage: Eukaryota; Fungi; Ascomycota; Eurotiomycetes; Eurotiales; Aspergillaceae. The record is from RNAcentral.
GCCCGGGUGGUCUAGUGGUAUGAUUCUCGCUUAGUAAGUCUCCAGCUCACAUUUGACUAAUAAAGGUUCUAACCAUCUCCAGGGGUUUACCCUUAGCAUGUUUGCGAGAGGUCCCGCGUUCGAUCCGCGGCUCGGGCC